AACGUAGGAAGCUAGCGUUAUCCGGAUUUACUGGGCGUAAAGCGCAUGCAGGUGGUUUCGUAAGUUGGAUGUGAAAGCUCCCGGCUUAACUGGGAGAGGUCGUUCAAAACUACGAGACUUGAGAUUGGUAGAGGAAGGUGGAAUUCCGGGUGUAGUGGUGAAAUGCGUAGAUAUCCGGAGGAACACCAGUGGCGAAAGCGGCCUUCUGGACCAAUUCUGACACUCAGAUGCGAAAGCUAAGGUAGCAAACGGG
RNAcentral lists this ribosomal RNA (253 nucleotides) under uncultured bacterium. RNAcentral's name for it is "partial 16S ribosomal RNA". It matches the Rfam family "Bacterial small subunit ribosomal RNA", at positions 524 to 776 of the family's 1533-position model. The record is from RNAcentral.